AUGGCAGUCGAUGAGAGGGUGCAGAUAAGCAAGAGUCAGGACAGAAGAACAUUUAAAUAUUUACUUCUGUUGUUCCACAGUUCACUCUUUGGCAUUGGUAUCAAGGUACCCCUUGACAUGAAAGUGAAAGAACAAGCAUAUCACAUCUUUCCAGAGUGUCACUUUUACUCAAAAGCUGGAAACCUUAAAUUCUGUUUACAGGAAGUCAGAGUUUCCCCAACAGCUACCAGUAGACAAAAUCUGAAGUACCAUGGUAAUGGAGAUGCAACAAUAAUUGUAUUUUUAUUUAAGAAAUACUCCUCUUACUAUUUGUAUGCAAAAGCUGUAGAUCCAAGCAUGUUUAAUUUAAGGGGUCUUUCUUAGAGCUUUGUCUGUAAAUGGCUCCGACAUUCUGUGACUUUCACAGAAAAUAACCCAAACUGGAAUGCCUUCAUGCCCUGGUUCACCGUUAUGGUCUUGCUUUUCUUUUCUUUUUUCUUUUUCUCUUUCUCUCUUUGUUUCUCUCCCUUUUUCUCUCUCUUUCAGAUAAGAGCAGGGAUGCAGUAUGAGACAGAGUUUUUACAUGCAAAGGAAAAGAUUAAUUUUGUGAAAGAAGAACUCAAGGGCUUUUGAGCCUCCAAUCAAUCACUAUUGUCUUCUGCUGAUGUCUGAGCCUGAAAAAGAAAUGGGAUAAUGUAUAGGACACUAUGUGAAACACAUUUUCUGUGUCUCUGUCAGGACAGUGAACUACAAAAUAAAUGAUAUUGGGGCAAGUACA
Molecule: long non-coding RNA, 757 nt
Filed under: Vulpes vulpes (red fox)
Lineage: Eukaryota; Metazoa; Chordata; Mammalia; Carnivora; Canidae
Description: lncRNA (ENSVVUG00000016040.1)
Source: RNAcentral